This 65-nucleotide transfer RNA is filed under the name Aulacus sinensis. Its description in RNAcentral is "tRNA-Glu". The record is from RNAcentral. Lineage: Eukaryota; Metazoa; Arthropoda; Insecta; Hymenoptera; Aulacidae.
AUUUAUAUAAUUUAAUUAAAAUAUUAUAUUUUCAAUAUAAAUUUAACUUUAUUAGUUUAUAAAUA